This 373-nucleotide ribosomal RNA is filed under the name uncultured organism. RNAcentral describes it as "partial 16S ribosomal RNA". It matches the Rfam family "Bacterial small subunit ribosomal RNA", at positions 527 to 896 of the family's 1533-position model. The record is from RNAcentral.
GUAGGUGGCAAGCGUUGUCCGGAAUUAUUGGGCGUAAAGCGCGCGCAGGCGGUUCUUUAAGUCUGAUGUGAAAGCCCACGGCUCAACCGUGGAGGGUCAUUGGAAACUGGAGAACUUGAGUACAGAAGAGGAAAGCGGAAUUCCACGUGUAGCGGUGGAAUGCGUAGAGAUGUGGAGGAACACCAGUGGCGAAGGCGGCUUUCUGGUCUGUAACUGACGCUGAGGCGCGAAAGCGUGGGGAGCAAACAGGGAUUAGAUACCCUGGUAGUCCACGCCGUAAACGAUGAGUGCUAAGUGUUAGGGGGUUUCCCGCCCCUUAGUGCUGCAGCUAACGCAUUAAGCACUCCGCCUGGGGAGUACGGCCGCAAGGCUG